GGGCGUAGGUGGACGGCUAACGGCGGAUAUCGCUGAGGAAAGUCCCCUCUCGCUCUGAAUCGGGAAACUGUGCAAACAGUAAGGGUGAGAAUCCUUGCAGAGACGCAGAAACGACACAGCUCAGGAAUAAUGCUAUGAUUCAUAUGAUGAUGAGGUCUUCUUGAGAUAUGAUGAAACGGUCAAUCUGCUCCUGGAGCAAGUCCAAACAUUGAGAUCAGUUAUUCAGACUGUUCAUAGGUAGGACGCAUAGUAGAAUGCCGUUUAAAACAGAAAGGGGCUUAUGGCCUACACCC
This 293-nucleotide RNase P RNA is filed under the name Thermoplasmatales archaeon SG8-52-1. Its description in RNAcentral is "RNase P RNA component". It matches the Rfam family "Archaeal RNase P". Rfam says of the family: Ribonuclease P (RNase P) is a ubiquitous endoribonuclease, found in archaea, bacteria and eukarya as well as chloroplasts and mitochondria. Its best characterised activity is the generation of mature 5'-ends of tRNAs by cleaving the 5'-leader elements of precursor-tRNAs. The record is from RNAcentral. Lineage: Archaea; Methanobacteriati; Thermoplasmatota; Thermoplasmata; Thermoplasmatales.